GCCGCGCUGAGGGGAGCCUGAGCGACGGCGGCAGCCGGGUAAGGGCUCCGGCGUGGUGAGGGGAACCAGAGAGGCCGAGGCGGAGCGCCACGGUCUGCGGGCUAUCGGUGGCUCGCUCCUUCCGUGGUGUGGUUAAAAUUGUGGUGUCAGCCAACCAGACAUUGUUCUGAAAUUCGGCCUCCUGUGCUCAAGCGACAAGAACAUCUUUCCUCAAGGAACUCCCCUGAAGUAAGGCAACUCCUGACAACCGCGUGCAGCUACAGCCUGAAAUGGCAGCAAAUGAUUACUUAUGAUGCCCUUGGACAUCUGUAUCUCAAAUAAAACUUGAUUUCAAUGGACUGUCAUCCCUUAAAAAUGAAAAUAUAAGUGUUUGAGUGAAAUAAACAUUUGCCAAGACCACCAGUGCAACGCAUUCAUAAAGUUACAGCUCAAGUGGCAAAGCUAUUUCAAGAGCAUAAGGACAUAUGAAAUGAGGAUCUGAAAUAACCCGUGUCAUUAAUCCUAACAAGUGCACUUAUCAGCAUUCACUUCAUUAUCUGACAUUAACUCAAGAUUGUUCUGUGACAUUUAGUCUUUUUUAGUCUGUGGCAAUUUUAAUUGGAGUCAACUUAUAACAAGUUAUGUCCAUUGUCCAAUCUGUUAAGCACAGCAUGCACCACUUCAAACUUCCAUCAAGAAUGUCGAAAUAUAUGAUACUGAAAUACGUAUUAAGAGUUCCCUAAAGAAGCACAAAUACUGUUAAAAAUACUUACUUUAUUAUAUAUAGUAUAGGGAAGAAAGGUCUCUGUUCUCUCAGCCAAGAAAUGAAAGCUGUUAUUCUGAUGGAUUCUGCAGUGUCAAGUUCUGGGAGAUGUGUCUAAGAGGCAAAGGGAAUCAUUAAUACAUAGAGGACAGUUUUCAGGAGAACAGUGAAAGGACUCUAUCCUCACUGAGUAUAAAGGAAACCCAGACAGACAGUAUUUGUUUAGUUUCAUUUGAAAGGGCCUGAGACAGUCACUAAAAUAGUAUAGCAAUAUAGUAAAUAGCAAUUAGCUGUCAGAAUAGUGAUGACUGAGCUGUGAUCAAUACCUAUUGCAGAAACCAAAGGAUUUCCCACUCACCCACUGUGCUUACUAUUGGCAAGUAUUCUCAGUCUGCUCCCACAAGUCUGGGAAACUUACUCACUGCCAGCCUCUUCUUAUCGCACUUUCCUGGGAAUAGCUACAAAAGUUCAGCCUGGAAACACUCCAAGAGAGGCAACAAAAAUGAUGUAUUUCCCUGAAUCUGGAUUUAUAGUGAAUGAUAACUAAAGAGCUAAUAUUUGAAUAGAGGUAUAGAAGUUCUCAUGAAAAUAAUACUUUGGUAGCACUGUAUCACUGAUGUACAGCAAAGCAAGCACAUACCAUAUUCUGUGGUAUUGAGCCA
Molecule: long non-coding RNA, 1404 nt
Organism: Melopsittacus undulatus (budgerigar)
Lineage: Eukaryota; Metazoa; Chordata; Aves; Psittaciformes; Psittaculidae
Exons: 3
Source: RefSeq, a predicted model, not a curated record